UAUGACAUGCUUUCUCCAGUACGAAAGGACCGAGAAAGGGAGGCCAAUCCUAUAGGGACGCCUGAUCUCCAAGUAGUGAAUACAACUAAACUACCAUAAGGAGUAUAACCAAAUAUUGAACUCCUAAAAAAGGACU
Molecule: ribosomal RNA, 136 nt
Filed under: Neomorphus geoffroyi
Lineage: Eukaryota; Metazoa; Chordata; Aves; Cuculiformes; Neomorphidae
Description: partial 16S ribosomal RNA
Source: RNAcentral